GCUUGCUUCUUGGGGUUGUAGGACACUCUAUACGGAGUUACAAAAGAAAGUUAUAAAUGAAGCGGUCUGGAAAGGCCCGCCAAAGACGGUAACAGCCCGGUAGUUGAAAUGGCUUUCCCUCCAGAGUGGAUCCUGAGUACGGCGGAACACGUGAAAUUCCGUCGGAAUCCGGGAGGACCAUCUCCCAAGGCUAAAUACUCCCUAGUGACCGAUAGUGAACCAGUACCGUGAGGGAAAGGUGAAAAGCACCCCGGAAGGGGAGUGAAACAGUUCCUGAAACCGUGUGCCUACAAGUAGUUAGAGCCCGUUAAUGGGUGAUAGCGUGCCUUUUGUAGAAUGAACCGGCGAGUUACGAUUUGUUGCAAGGUUAAGCGGAAAAAGCGGAGCCGUAGCGAAAGCGAGUCUGAAUAGGGCGCAUAAGUAACAGGUCGUAGACCCGAAACCAGGUGAUCUACCCAUGUCCAGGAUGAAGGUAAGGUAAUACUUACUGGAGGUCCGAACCCACGCACGUUGAAAAGUGCGGGGAUGAGGUGUGGGUAGCGGAGAAAUUCCAAUCGAACUUGGAGAUAGCUGGUUCUCUCCGAAAUAGCUUUAGGGCUAGCCUCGAGGUAAAGAGUCAUGGAGGUAGAGCACUGUUUGGACUAGGGGCCCUUCUCGGGUUACCGAAUUCAGAUAAACUCCGAAUGCCAUGUACUUAUACUCGGGAGUCAGACUGCGAGUGAUAAGAUCCGUAGUCGAAAGGGAAACAGCCCAGACCACCAGUUAAGGUCCCCAAAUAUAUGUUAAGUGGAAAAGGAUGUGGGGUUGCUUAGACAACCAGG
This 821-nucleotide ribosomal RNA is filed under the name Listeria monocytogenes. RNAcentral's name for it is "partial 23S ribosomal RNA". It matches the Rfam family "Bacterial large subunit ribosomal RNA", at positions 283 to 1097 of the family's 2925-position model. The record is from RNAcentral. Lineage: Bacteria; Bacillati; Bacillota; Bacilli; Caryophanales; Listeriaceae.